UUUAAAUGGCCUUAGAAUGGGAUGAAAUUUGAAGGGUAUCAAGGAUAAAAGUGUAGACACCCGAUUCCCUGCUGAGGGAGUCUCAGGAAACAUAAGACCUAGAUACCCUAAGCCAUCCCAGAAAAUUAGACCUUAGUAUCACCAAGUACCUCAAACAUCAACCCAUACGCAAUUUCGACACCUAGAACCAUGGAAACUGGCACCCUGAAGCUUGAGCUUCAUGGACCCUUCAAAAAUCAGUCUUUUGGGCCCAAAUUUGACUCCAAAUGAAAGUAGAGGUCACAAGCUUACCAACUGCUCAAGAAUCGCUCGGAUAUGAUGUACAGUUUGAGAUUUAUGGCUCGUGGGAAUUUGUUCACAAAUAUGAUCAUUUAGUCCCCAGCGAGGCCAUGGGUAACGCUAGAGAGGGUGGCAUCAACACCAUUGGAAUUGGGGGUUCCAACACCAGCAUGACCACCAACAAUGCCUAGGAGCACAAAGUUGGGGUCUCCAAUGCCCAAGAUGGAGGUGGCAACACUGUCAGCAACAAUGUCCGAAAUGAUUGUCUGAACCACUGGCCUGAAGACCCACCAGAAAACAAGGCCCGAAGCAUCAUGAGCGUAGUGUUGGGGGUGCCAACGCCACCCCCAGUCAAACUCCUACAUAUUGAAUAGUAAUUCUGCAGCACAAAUAAUUGAAUUUGAAUGAUUAAAACCUAAGGUUGGUGGUGCCAACGACAACAAUUCAAGAAGCAACGUUGCAAAAAGUCUUCUCCAUACACCUCAUGAAUGGUAUUUUCAUUAAAUUAGAAGGACAAUUAUUGAAAAUGAAAUCACUAUGGUGAGCGUUGGCGAUGCCCAUGUCAACGUUGGAGCUGGCAACACUGGAGAUAGAAAAGAACAACAACUCUGCCAGUGCCAAUGCCCACGUUGGAGGCAGCAGUGCCCAAGGGGGCAUGGCGUUGGCAGUGGCAGUGCCAGCGUUGGCGGUAGUGAUGCUCUCAAUCAAUGAACCCAACCAACACUUGACCACUAGAACAGUGUUUGCAUUAAUGAAAAAAGAUGUUUUGAACACGUCUAAGUGAUUCACCAACAGUGAUGGCACUGUAGACGUGAGUUUCAAAUGGUUAAUGGUGCAAUCGUAGCAGCAUUGCUGGCGCCAACGCUAGCAUUGCCACCGGUGGUGUUCGGAAUCGACAACCCGGAUUGACUCGAAACUUUGUGAUACUGUUUAAGGACUAUUUUUUUAUAAAUAGUGGCCUUGGGUUCUGAAUUUGGGGAACCUUAGAGACUUCGAACCUCAGCUGAAACUUUGCCUCACUCGAGACUCAAAUCCCUAAACCUCGAGACCUAAGUUUGAGCCCUAAUCCCAACAUCCUAAAACCUAAAUUCCGACACUACCAUACACCAAUCCAUCUGAUACAAAUAUCUUCUACCUGAUGGACUCCAAAGGAUUGGAAAACUCAGUGUACCAAGCACAAUUCUGAACCGGCCGUCUACUCCGGGUGCUAGGCUUGGGGGCUUGGCUUAAGGUUUGUUUUUGUUCCUUUUCCCAUUUAUUUUCAGUCUAUUUCAAACUUAUUUUCUCCAAAUCUCUCCCCUUCUUAUCGAAAAACUCUUUUCAAGUAUUCUAGCGGAUUCUCAAUUUCUUCGCCCUUAAAGCCGGUUUUACCGGUUCUGUAUGAGAGCAGCGACUAAAUCCUCGUCCGGGUUAUAAUUCGACGAGACCCUUAUCCUCUACUCUUUCUAUUGACGAGUUUGCAUGCGAAUACGAGGCGGAGGUUGUAUUUCCUCUAUCGAAAUUUUCAUGUAUAAACAGUCUGGCACCUGCCGUGGUGCUUGUCGAGCUCGUGGGGCAUCGAAAACGCAAACAUACUCCUUGGACCUUAGGCCCGAGGGUAGAAUGAGGCGAGAAUCUGCUUUUUCUUUAUUUCGAGAGUUUUCUGGAUCUCGAGGAGGUCAGAGUAGGCAAAUUUGUCGGGGGCAACGCCGGAGUUGGCAACAACAACGAUUGUCUUGAGAACAAGACGCUGCUGGCAAUGCUAGAAUUGCUGGCCCCCACACUAGUUCUUUUUCUCUUUGGUUUUCUAGGGAGCCUAGCAUGGGAUUGACAUCGGCCUUGUUAGCGGCAACAACGCAGAAUUAUCUCAGCACUGCUGUCACGAACGCCAGAACCACUGGGACCAGAUUGCAUCCUCUGGCCUUGAUACUUACCUGUUCCUUCUUUCUAAGCUUUGUUUCUACCUUUUUAUUGUUUCUGCUACAUGGGGGUCACGUCAUCUUGGGAAGGAUCUCGGAUUUAGCUAAGCUUUGCAAUUUCGAAAUUGAAUCAUGGGAAACUUCACCCAAGAUCAAUUCUCACAGAAAAAUGGAAAAUAAGACUUAACGUUAAUCAGCCCAACAGGAUUCUCUAGAUACCCAUUUGGGGUAGUCUAUUGUAAAAUGGCAAAACACCAUUGAGAGGAGGAUUCAGCUGAGCUUUACAAUUAAGAAAUUUUGUUAAGAUGAAUUCUCCAAGAAAAUACAAUGAUGUAGUAAAAGUCCCACAGUUCACCGAACAGGAUUCUUGAGACACCUGUUCGAGGUAAUCUAUGGUAAUAUGCUAAAACACCAUUCAGAGGAGGAUUCACCUGAGCGUUACAAAGAUGAAUUCUUCUCCAAGGAAAAUACAAUGAAGCAGUCUAGUCCCUUAGUUCACCGCAAUGGGAUUCCCGCGAUACCCAUUCCGGGCAGUCUAUUGUAAUAUGGUAAAACACCAUUGAGAAGAGGAUUCAGCUGAGCUUUACAAAGAAAAAUUCUCCAAGAAAAAUGCAAUGAUGAAAUCAUGACCUUCAAUUCACCCCAACGGGAUUCUCAUAAUAUCCGUUCGGCAGUCCAUUAUAAUAUAACAAGCACCAUUGAAGAAGGGAUUCAUCUGAGCUUUACAGUUCAAGAAAAACUUUAUUUAAGAUGAAUUCUCCAAGAAAAAUUUGAUGAUAUAAUCGUAGUUCUGACUAACCAACGUGAUCACUGCCAUACCUGCUCGUGUCAACCAAAAAUCAAGUAUGGUGGAUUUUUCAUGGAUGACAAAUCCCAUGUAAAUGGAAAUUUUGAUGUCCAUUACUGCAUGACAAAAAAUUGUUUAGUUGGCUCCAUGGUUACACGAGCUAAAACUUUUAACUAAAUUCGGUUUAAAAAAUCUCCCUUUCUUCAGAAUACUCCUUUUGCAUUUCUUAAUUUUCAGGUUAUUGAUUUUCGAGUCCUUAAUUUUUCUUAAUUUUCAAUUUCUUAAAUUAAUGGACAAUCCUGAUUCGGAUCCUUUCAAAAUUAGGUGUUUGUUGUUUUAAAAAACUUUAAUUUCUUUGGUUCAAAUUGUAAUCCGGCAUCAACAUCUGUUUUUUUUUUAAAAAAUUCUCCUUGUUUUCAAGAUUUUCCUAAAAAUAUUUUGGAAAACAAAAGAGUCGGAUCCACGCUUGGUAAUGAUGAUCAGAAUGUGCCCUAAGAUUGACUGGCUCCAAAGAGAACGUCGCUGGAAGAAAGGUUUCAUGGAUCGGAAUACAAACUAUUCCAGUCCCCCCCUAAAACUCGCAAAUUUCCCUAAAAAAUCCCUUAAAUCUCCUAAACCAACCAAUCUAUAGGUCAAUUCCCUUGAAAACACCCAGGGCACGAGGUAGUAAUCUACUCAACCGGAAUUCUCUGCCUUCUCAUUUAGGGCCACUUUUCAAUCUAUGUUUUAAACACCAGGGGUUCUGUCUUCCUUGGAAUCUGACACCCCCACCUUAGCCAACAAAAUGGAGGUAGCGAUCGCCCCGACCUAUGGGCUAAGCUCACCUCCAGGUCCCAGAGACCACAGGCGCCACAGGCCGGCUGUUGUCAGAUACUCAAAUGAUGUCUCUCUUUAAAAGUAUUUUGUCCAUCUUUGUAUUUCUCUUGCUCUGUAUCUCAAGUGUCCUUUUUUGCCACUCAUCUCGUAUCGCACUUGUGCAACAUGAGCGACCAAGAGAGGCAACUGUAGACACCCGAUCCUCGGCUGAGGGAGUCUCAAGGAACCGAAGACCUAGCACCAUAGAUUCCCUAAGCCAUCUCACAAAAUUAGAGCUUAGUUUCACCAAAUACCUCAGAAAUCAACCUAUACACAAUUUCGACACCUAGAACCAUG
This 4116-nucleotide long non-coding RNA is filed under the name Amborella trichopoda. Its description in RNAcentral is "long non-coding RNA (ATRI_LNC004179)". Lineage: Eukaryota; Viridiplantae; Streptophyta; Magnoliopsida; Amborellales; Amborellaceae. The record is from RNAcentral.